Picea glauca (white spruce) is the source of this 119-nucleotide non-coding RNA. The record is from Rfam. NCBI's taxonomy places the organism in Eukaryota, Viridiplantae, Streptophyta, Pinopsida, Pinales, Pinaceae.
GAGUGCGAUCAUACUAGUGUUAAUGUACCAGAUCCUAUUAGAACUCCACAGUUAAGCGUGUUUGGGCUAGAGUAGUAUUGGGAUGGGUGACCUCCCAGGAAUUCCUAAUGUUGCACCCU